RNAcentral lists this long non-coding RNA (10214 nucleotides) under Prunus persica (peach). RNAcentral describes it as "long non-coding RNA (PPER_LNC001434)". The record is from RNAcentral. Lineage: Eukaryota; Viridiplantae; Streptophyta; Magnoliopsida; Rosales; Rosaceae.
ACCACAGUGCAUGCAGUUGAUCAGAUGACUACCAAAACCCCAAGUGAAGUUUCUCCUCAGAAAUGAUAUAUAUCAUUAUUUGAAUCUUGAAGAUCAAUAACAUGCUACGCUCCCUUUGUGGAGUUUCUUUACUGCAUUUCUUAUGUAACCUCUAAUAAGACCUUUAUUUGUGAAUGUUUUGGAUUUAUCAUCAUUGGCGCUAGGCCGCGGGUUAAAAUAGGUGCAGCCAUUUAUGGAUUGUGAUAUUUUGAACUAGUUUUAACGUAGGAUUUGGUUGUGGAUAAGUCUAACAUGACAGAAAGUAAAGAGCAAAAAGAUUUCCAAUCACUUAAUCAGGCUACCAAGGCAAAUAUUUAUUGUCAAUAUCAUUAUUUUUUACCCGAUACAAACGAUAUUGAGAAAGAAGGAAAUGGACACAAGACUUCUGGCUAAGAACGAAAUGUCAUUUGAGUUCAAGCUUAUGAGCUUGGUUUAUUGUUAACUAUUGAUAUCAGAUUCACCAUUAACUUGUGGGGCUCCUCUAAUUCUUGCAACAACACGUAUCGUUGUCGAUGCAUCCACCAUUGAUGUUUCCGCCAUAUUGUUGAAUGCAGGUUAAGAUACAGGAUUGCUUUGAGCAGUUCAUAAUUGGAAUAGUAGGGAAGGAGCAUGUUUGUGCCUCUCCUUGCAUUUUACCUAAAUAUCCACUCCAAAAAAAAAAAAAAAAAAAGGCUAAGACAUGUGAAGCCAUAAACCGAGCAUGAAUUCAGAUUGUGAACCAAAAAGCCUAAUAUAUUUAUUAUAUAUAAAGAAGGACAUGCAUAUACCAAGAGAGAAAACCAAGAGAAGCAAAAUAAGCAGAGGGAAAAAAGCUGACUGGCCCUUCAUCUCUGUCUCUGAGAACAAGUAUGAAAAAUAUGUACUCAGCGGUCACAGUGCUAAUAACCUGCAAGCUCUCCUCGAUCUCUAUGUCUUCGUUUAUAACAAUCUUAAGGCUAAUAGUCAUCCCUUCCACACACUGUCAGUCAAACUCUUCUAAUCUCCUAGAUUCUCAAUUAAUGAUACAUAUACAUUGGUCAUGAUUUGCAUCCCUAAAGGGAGAUUUGAAUGUGACCUGUAUCAUUUUGUAUUUUGCAAUCUUUGUUGAUCGUAUUUUUAUAUAUUAAUAAUCGGAGGAGAACUCGAAUUAAAUAUAAAUCACACUAGACCAUUAGUUAAUAAGUCACUUUUAUCGUAUUUCCCACCGACGAAAUAAACUGGCCCGAAACUAAUCCUAACAAAGCGGUUAGGUUUGGCCCGUUUGGGAUUGGGCCUAAUCGACAGUUUACAAUAACCCUUGGGUUUAGUUCUUGUACAAUUUAAUUGAUAACCGGCCCUUUUCACCUAUAUACUGCAGUACAUACAUUACGAUCAUAAAAGGAUGAGACAACUCAGGUGCUCGAGUUUACACGUAGCUUUUUAAGCAAGAAACGACGACACCAAUGAGAAAGCUAUCUUAUCUUGCAUCCCAAGAAAAUGACAAGUCUUACCUCAGUUUUCUCGUGCCUAAUUAACCCACCCCUCCAAAUUGUCACCUGCCUUGCACCAGCCUACCUAAUAUUUCCGGCAGGCCCAGUUGGGAUUUUAAGAAAUGUCUAAUUUUUCUAGAUAUAUGUCGUCAUUCCAUUUCCUUUGCUUGAUUCUUUCCCUUCCUUGGAAAGUGACUUAAAACAAUGUCACCAAGAAAACAUUAUUCCACCGCACAACCUUUUUUUUAUGUCAAAUUUUCCCCUUAAUGUGGGUGUUAGUAAUAUUGAAAGAGAAAAUUUAAAAUAAUUUUAAGGGACCAAUGAGUAGCUAAUAUGUUUUUGGUUCAUAAUGUCAUUUAAGCAAAGCAAAAGUCUGUAACAAAACAAUGCUUAGGGAAAAAGUUAAGGAAAGACAAAUGAUUGUUCUUCAUUUGUGCAGCAUACAUACCGGUUGUAAUUAGCAGGAAGAAUGAAUGAACACUCUAUCAUCAACAAAUAUCAUGAAUGAGGAAUUCAAUCGGGUCGCUAUGAGUGCGUUGGAAUGCGCUUCACGCGCUCCAUUUCCUUCUGCGUUCUCUUGCCAAGCUCUUUCAGAUCCAAUCGGCUCGAAGGCGACUGCAUCUCCUGGUUUCACGUUUUCGGCUCACCGGCCUACUGAGAGUCAUGAAGGAUGGUUCGUCCAAACGAUUCCGUUCUGAGGAUUUUGCGCCUCCUGAAGGCGAUGAUGGUGGCAUGGAUUAGUCCGAACCGAUCCCUUCCAUGCUAGAGGUCAAUUUCAAAGAUAAGUUACUAAGCUCUUCUUGUUAAUAUCAUGAAUGAGGAAUUCAAUCGAGUCGCUAUGAGUGCGUUAGAAUGCACUUCAUGCGCUCCAUUUCAUUCUGCGUUCUCUUGCCAAACUCUUUCAGAUCCAAUCGGCUCGAAGGCGACUGCAUCUCCUGGUUUCACGUUUUCGGCUCACCGGCCUACCGAGAGUCAUGAAGGAUGGUUCGUCCAAACGAUUCCGUUAUAAGGAUUUUGCGCCUCAUGAAGGCGAUGAUGGUGGCAUGGAUUAGUCCAAUCAGAUCCCUUCCAUGCUAGAGGUCAAUUUCAAAGAUAAGUUACUAAUCUCUUCUUGUUUUGAAUAUACUGAAGGAAUGGAGAAGGAUGGUUUCUCCAUUGAAUCUGGUGAUUAUAAAGUUGAGGAUUCUCCAUAUGGUCAUUCAAUUCGUUUUUCUGAACAUGUUAAGAAUUAGAUCUAUAGACCUUGGAGAAAUUCUGUGAUUAUCCAAUUUGUAAGGAAGACUCAUACCUAUAAUUUUGUCUUUGCACGUCUGAAGCAGCGUUGGAGACUUAAGGGACCAAUGCAAUUAGUUGCUUUAGACAAUGGGUUAUUCAUUGUUCGUUUUGUUCUUGAGGAGGAUUUGUUGUAUGUGUUAACUGGGGGUCCUUGGGUAGUAGCAUGGCAGUAUGUUGCUGUUAAAAAACGGAGACCUGACAAGGCUACGUAUAGGGGGGUUCUGGUUAAAGUUCAAGCUAAACCUUCUGCUUGGAAAAGUCAACAGCUUUCUAUGGCUAGAAGAAUCACUUUAAUCCAAUCUGUUGCUUCUUCUAUGCCUCUAUAUACCAUGCAAACGGCUAAGCUACCUCAAGCUCUUUGUGAAGAUCUUGACAAAUCUUCUAAAAGUUUAGGCAGAGGAUGGUGUACAAAACCACAGUGCAUGCAGUUGAUUAGAUGACUACCAAAACCCCAAGUGAAGUUUCUCCUCAGAAGUGAAGUGAUAUAUAUCAUUCUUUGAAUCUUGAAGAUCAAUAAGAUGCUACGCUCCCUUUGUGGAGUUUCCUUACUGCAUUUCUUAUGUAACCUCUAAUAAGACCUUUAUUUGUGAAUGUUUUGGAUUUAUCAUCAUUGGCACUAGGCCGCGGGUUAAAAUAGGUGCAGCCAUUUCUGGAUUGUGAUAUUUUUGAACUAGUUUUAACGUAGGAUUUGGUUGUGGAUAAGUCUAAAAUCACAGAAAGUAAAGAGCAAAAAGAUUCGCAAUCACUAAAUCAGGCUACCAAGCCAAAUAUUUAUUGUCAAUAUCAUUAUUUUUUACCCGAUACAAACGAUAUUGAGAAGAAGGAAUCGGACACAAGACUUCCGGCUAAGAGCGAAAUGUCAUUUGAGUUCAAGCUUAUGAGCUUGGUUUAUUCUUAACUAUUGAUAUCAGAUUCACCAUUAACUUUUGGGGCUCCUUCAAUUCUUGCAACAACACGUAUCGUUGUCGAUGCAUCCGCCAUUGAUGUUUCCGCCAUAUUGUUGAAUGCAGGUUAAGAUACAGGAUUGCUUUGAGCAGUUAAUCAUUGGAAUAGUAGGGAAGGAGCAUGUUUGUGCCUCUCCUUGCAUUUUACCUAAAUAUCCACCCCCAAAACAAAACAAAAAAAAGGUUAAGACAUGUGAAGCCAUAAACCAAGCAUGAAUUCAGAUUGUGAACCAAAAAGCCUAAUAUAUUUAUUAUAUAUAAAAAAAGGACAUGCAUAUACCAAGAGAGAAAACCAAGAGAAGCAAAAUAAGCAUAGGGAAAAAAGCUGACUGGCCCUUCAUCUCUGUCUUUGAGAACAAGUAUGAAAAAUAUGUACUCAGCGGUCACAGUGCUAAUAACCUGCAAGCUCUCCUCGAUCUCUAUGUCUUCUUUUAUAACAAUCUUAAGGCUAAUAAUCAUCCCUUCCACACACUGUCGGUCAAACUAUUCUAAUCUCCUAGAUUCUCAAUUAAUGAUACAUAUACAUUGGUCUUGAUUUGCAUCCCUAAAGGGAGAUUUGAAUGUGACCCGUAACAUUUUGUAUUUUGCAAUCUUUGGAUUCGUAUGACUGCCAUAUAUGGUUGCCCAUUAAGGGAUUACCAUAUGGUUGGGAUUCGGAUCCUCAGCUAGGAUCUCCUUACCUUCUUUUCUCUAUGCCACUUCACUAAAACAAAUCACUCAAAAUUGACACAUUCGUUAUAUAACUACCUAAAAAUGUAAGAGGGGAUUUAUUAAUUAAAUUGGGUUAAAGAGUUUAUAUAGUGAUAAUAAUUUAGAAAAAUAAUAUCAUCUAGUAAAGCGGAAUGUUCCAUGUUAUAUAUUUCUUAAUUGAAAAUGUUUGUUGAUCGUAUUUUUAUAUAUUAAUAAUCGGAGGAGAACUCGAAUUAAAUAUAAAUCACACUAGACCAUUAGUUAAUAAGUCACUUUUAUCGUAUUUCCGACCGACGAAAUAAACUGGCCCGAAACUAAUCCUAACAAAGCGGUUAGGUUUGGCCUGUUUGGGGUUGGGCCUAAUCGACAGUUUACAAUAACCCUUGGGUUUAGUUCUUGUACAAUUUAAUUGAUAACCGGCCCUUUUCACCUAUAUACUGCAAUACAUACAUUACGAUCAUAAAAGAAUGAGACAACUCAAGUGCUCGAGUUUACACGUCGGUUUUUAAGCAAGAAACGACGACACCAAUGAGAAAGCUAUCUUCUCUUGCAUCCCAAGAAAAUGGCAAGUCUUACCUCAGCUUUCCCGUGCCCAAAUUAACCCGCCCCUUCAAGUUGUCACCUGCCUUGCACCAGCCUGCCUAAUAUUUCCGGCAGGCCCAGUUGGGAUUUUUAAGAAAUGCCUAAUUUUUUUAGAUAUAUGUCGUCAUUCCAUUUCCUUUGCUUGAUUCUUUCCCUUCCUUGGAAAAUGACUUAAAACAAUGUCACCAAGAAAACAUUAUUCACCGCACAACCUUUUUUGUAUCAAUUUUUCCCCUUAAUGUGGAUGUUAGUAAUAUUCAAAGAGAAAAUUUAAAAUAACUUUAAGGGACCAAUGGGCAACUAAUAUGUUUUUGGUUCAUAAUGUCAUUUAAGCAAAGCAAAAGUCUGUAACAAAACAAUGCUUGGGGAAAAAGUUAAGGAAAGACAAAUGAUUGUUCUUCAUUUGUGCAGCAUACAUACCGGUUGUAAUUAGCUGGAAGAAUGAACGAAAACUCUAUUAUCAACAAAAUAUCAUGAAUGAGGAAUUUAAUCGGGUCACUAUGAGUGCGUUGGAAUGCGCUUCACGCGCUCCCUUUCCUUCUGCGUUCUCUUGCCCAACUCUUUCAGAUCCAAUUAGCUCGAGGGCGACUGCGUCUCCUGGUUUCACGUUUUCGCUCACCGGCCUACCGAGAGUCCUGUUGUCAUGAAGGAUGGUUCGUCCAAACGAUUCUGUUCUGAGGAUUUUGCGCCUCCUGAAGGCGAUGAUGGUGGCAUGGAUCAGUCCGAUCAGAUCCCUUCCAUGCUAGAGGUCAAUUUCAAAGAUAAGUUACUAAGCUCUUCUUGUUUAAAUAUACUGAAGGAAUGGAGAAGGAUGGUUUCUCCAUUGAAUAUGGUGAUUAUGAAGUUGAGGAUUCUCCAUAUGGUCAUUCAAUUCUUUUUUCUGAACAUGUUAAGAAUAAGAUCUAUAGACCUUGGAGAAAUUCUGUGAUUAUCCAAUUUGUAAGGAAGACUCAUACCUAUAAUUUCAUCUUUUCACGUCUGAAGCAACGCUGGAGACUUAAGGGACUGAUGCAAUUAGUUGCUUUAGACAAUGGGUUCUUCAUUGUUCAUUUUGUUCUUGAGGAGGAUUUGUUGUAUGUGUUAACUGAGGGUCCUUGGGUAGUAGCAGGGCAGUAUGUUGUUGUUAAAAAACGGAGACCUGAUAAGGCUACGUUGACAGGACCCGCCUCGAGAUUUCCCCAAAACCGGGGCGAAGCCCAUCUUUAUUCCGACAUCUUCCCGAUGCCGGGCCCACCUACUAGAAACCGAGACUCUCUACCAAAAUUUUGGCAGAGUCUCCCCUGUGAAUUGAACAAACCAAUUAAAUUUAGCAUGCAUAAAAAUACAGAAUAAUCCUAACCAGCAGCAUGCUUUGAAGCGAAUAAACAGUUUACAACAAAAUAGCCUCCGGCCUCACAAUUCAACCCUAACAGGGGCGAUAACAGAGCAUGUCUAAGGACUUCAAUUACAACAAAAUAGAGUACAAAGGAAAUAACAUGAAGAAAGAGUCCUACGAUGACUCAAGGCUCGGAAGCGCACGAUCCGGCUCUGCUGCGGAGCUCAGUCAACUACUGGCUGGGGGGGCGCAAAACAGAAAAUUGUGAGUGGACAAAAAUAAAUUCAGUUUAGUGUAAACCAACGUAAUAUAACCCCACCGUUUAGAAAACCAUGCAAGAAAUCCCAUGCAUCUCAAAACCGUCAUACUCAAGUGUAUAUAUAUAUAUAUAUAUAUAUAAUAUAUAUAUAUAUAUAUAUAUCAAGACAAAUCAAUACCAGAUGCCAAGUCCGAAAUCCAUAAAGAAUACUUUACAAAACCUACCAUCCAAAAACUUAUAAAUCCCACAACCAAACUCUCAAAAGCGUACCCACUGGCACAACCGGCAAGGAAGUAUCCACACCGAGAAACAAGAAUGAAUGAAUAGAUAUAAAUAUAUAAUAUAAGAGAUAUAUAUAUAGUAUAAAUAUAACCAUCACCUUGUUGUACCGGGGAAACAAUCUAACCGGGGGAUUGUUUGACUAGUCACCCUGGCAGAGUCCUCGUGAUGAGUCCUUAAUCCACCAUGUGACUAGGGAACGAGUCGUCCAACUGGGGGACCAACUCUCAGCCAGAACGUACCGUCGAUAACCUCAAAACCCGUACAUCUGUGAUCAGUCCUACGCGUGCAGACUACCCAAUUAAGGGUCUAUAGCAACAUCCCGUCAAGGAUGCCGCGGGUCCCGACAAUUCCAAGUAUCUCAAGUCUCCGUAUCCAAGUUCCACAUCCGGAGAGGUACAUAGGGUAGUGCUUACAGCACACCAAACUGACAUUCUAUACUCACCACUUUCCACAAUCUCCUCUCAACAACCCAAGUACCUCACACAUAGCCAAAUAUAUAUAUAGAAAUCCCCAAAAUCCAUAUAUUCAUACUCAAGAUACUCAAAUACGUCAAAACCCAAAAUAUAUUUUCAAUGCCUCAUAAAAAUAUCACUUUCAACAAUUUCAUAAAUAAUAUAUCCAAAAUGCCAUUUAAAACAUCGUGCCUAAUAUUUCCCAAAAUCCAUAUAUAAAAUAUACUUUCAAUACCCAACUAUGCCAAAGCACUAUACAAACAUCAAAUUCAACUCAUGAAUAUAAUAUAUUCGUUAAAUCAUUUAAAACAUUAUGCAUAAAUCUUUCAUCAAUAAAACCAUGCAUAAGAUUUGAAAACAAAGUCUACUCACAAGUAGUCCCACGCUGCUUGACCCUGAGAGGGUCCUGCCUGCUGUGUAUGCGUGGUCGGAUUACCUAAUUCAGAAUACGUAUACGAGAUUAAUACGAAACGUUUCGAACGAGUACUUUAAAUUAAAUAUCCUAAUUUUCCAGGUUUCUAGUAAGUGUACUAGGAAUGAGACGUUCUAAGGUCCAACUACCCAAUUUGGACGAUGGAACAAUUUCGGGAGACACUCGGUCAACCAGCGGUCAAACUUCCCAAUUUGGGUCAACCGGGCCCACGGGACCCACGACCUCCGUUUUACAACCCAAAAGUUCCUAAAGGUUUCACAAGGUCUAAGAUACCCGUCUCGCAAGUUUGGUCCGAAACGGACAGUUAGAUCGCUUACAAUCGGACGAUCGGCCGGUUAUUAUAAAACGCAAACUUUAAGUUAUUGAACCGGAACAUCCGGGGUUCCGAUUCACAAUCCGCGAAUUCCUAUACAAUCCUAGGAAUACCUAGAACAACAUAUUUUAAUUCGGAAAGGAUCUAACGGUCGGAACCUAUCGAACCCGGAUAACGCACAAUAUGCGAAAAUCCGUUCGACAGUCAAACGAUGUCCGAAUUGAGAUCCGCGAAAUCCUACGUGCUCGUGACAACCAGGAGAUCGCAUUGGGACACAUAUGCCCCUCUGCUACAGUGCUCACACGCCGCCACACGCGCGGGCAGCGAGCGGGUGUCCAAAGCGAUAAAGCUUCGUCGGAAAAACUCAACAUCUCGGCUCAAGAUUCCUAUCCUUGGUACAACACCCUAUUUGGAGUCACUUUUGUUCUUGGGCCUACCCCAAAAAGUGACUGGAAGUGGCCGAAAACAAACUCCCAAAAUCGGCAGAAUUUCAAAUCGAAGAUCAGCUAUCCUAUGCUCAAAAUUAAUGAAAUCCUAUCCAACCAUCAGCUAGAGCAUGGAAAAUACGUAGAAAUCCAUACCUUACUCGUCAAAUUUGGAGAAGAAAUGAGAGAGAACGAGCGGUUUGAAAAUAUGUGAAAACCGGCUCGUUUUUCUGCAGAUUCCGGCGACACCAGCGGCUGCCGAGGUCGGGGAUGGAGCGGGAUGGAAGGAGGAGGAGCUGGCGGUCCUUUUGGGACCGGUACCACUCCAAACGGUGGCCGAUGGCGGCCGUGGUGGCUCUUGGAGCCACCGGCUGUGCAGAAAAAAAGGGGAAGGGGAGGGGCUGUUCGCGAGAGAGAGAGAGAGAGAGAGAGAGAGAGAGAGAGAGAGAGAGAGAGAGAGAGAGAAGUCAGAUAUUUUAAACCCAGACUUCAAAAUAUUUACGGUUUUGCCAUUGUCGAUGUUUUGCCCGUAACUUUUUCGUUACAACUCCGAUUCAAGCCUACCGCAUGUCUACGAAUUCGUCUCAAUACCACGGACUCAGAAAUACCAGUUACUGCCCCAAACACUUUCCGAGCAAGAAAAUGAUCAAUUUACCCCUACCCUAAGGGUAAAUUCAUAAAUUUGCUUAAAAAAUUUAAAAUAGGAAUUAAAUUUAGAGUCGGGGUGUUACAUACGUAUAGGAGGGUUCUGGUUAAAGUUCAGGCUAAACCUUCUGCUUGGAAAAGUCAACUGCUUUCUAUGGCUGGAAGAAUCACUUUAAUCCAAUCUGUUGCUUCUUCUAUGCCUCUAUAUACUAUGCAGACGGCUAAGCUUCCUGAAGCUCUUUGUGAAGAUCUUGACAAAUUUUCUAAAAGUUUAGGCAGAGGAUGGUGUACAAAACCACAGUGCAUGCGGUUGAUUAGAUGCAGACACGUACCUACUAACAUGCUAACCUGGGCUAAAGCCCAGACAGCUUGUUUUUUAAUAGACUAAAUUAAUAUUCUAGCCUAUGUCACCUAAAUAAAAUAUUAUUAAUUAAUCCCAUUAGGACUAGGCUAACCACUUAAAUAAAAUAUUAUUAACUAAUCCUAUUAGGACUAGGCUGACCAACAAAUAAAUAAAAAGAAUAAAAUUUACAAAAACAUACUACUUGAUUGAUAGAUUGAUUCGUUUAGUGCUAACUCUUCAUGUGUCUACAAUAACAACAGAAUGAGCGUUUUCAUGUACGAGACUUAUUCAAAAUCGACUUCGGAAUUAGAUAGGUGAUGAGUUUCUUGCUAAUUGUAUGCUACAUCAUAUCGAAAGAGAAUUUGCUGAUAAUAUAGAUAAUGAAUCAAUAAUUAGUGAUUUCAAUGCUAUGAAGACUUGAAUGGUGCAACUUCUAUAAGUGUUAUUUGAGGGGUAAGACUCAUUAUGUCUCCCACGUAUUUUUUUGUUAUCAAUGAAAUUUACUCAUACCGUUGAGUUUUCAAUAGGUUUGUAUAUAAGGUAAAUUUAGCCCACGCCAUUUUGAAAUUCUGGGUCCGUCCCUGAUUAGAUGACAACCAAAACCCCAAGUGAAAUCUCUCCUCAGAAGUGAUGUAUAUCAUUCUUUGAAUCUUGAAGAUCAAUAAGAUGCUACGCUCCCUUUGUGGAGUUUCCUUACUGCAUUUCUUAUGUAACCUCUAAUAAGACCUUUAUUUGUGAAUGUUUUGGAUUUAUCAUCAUUGGCACUAGG